This is an unclassified non-coding RNA of Papio anubis (olive baboon), 148 nucleotides long. It matches the Rfam family "Metazoan signal recognition particle RNA". Rfam says of the family: The signal recognition particle (SRP) is a universally conserved ribonucleoprotein. It is involved in the co-translational targeting of proteins to membranes. The eukaryotic SRP consists of a 300-nucleotide 7S RNA and six proteins: SRPs 72, 68, 54, 19, 14, and 9. The record is from Ensembl. Lineage: Eukaryota; Metazoa; Chordata; Mammalia; Primates; Cercopithecidae.
GCUGGGUGUGAUGGUGCAUGCCUGUAGUCCAAGCUACUCAGGAGGCUGAGACAGGAGGAUCACUUGAGCCCGGGAGUUUGAGGCUGCAGUGAGCUAUGAUUGCACCACUGCAUUCCAGCCUGGGCAACAGAGGGAGAGCCUGUCUCUA